Molecule: ribosomal RNA, 300 nt
Filed under: uncultured Bacillus sp.
Lineage: Bacteria; Bacillati; Bacillota; Bacilli; Caryophanales; Bacillaceae
Description: bacterial SSU rRNA
Rfam family: Bacterial small subunit ribosomal RNA
Source: RNAcentral
GGUACUGCCGUGCCAGGAGUGCGGGGAGAAGGGGGGGUGCAAGCGUUAAUCGGAAUUACUGGGCGGAAAGCGCAAGUAGGCGGUUGUCUAAGUCAGAUGUGAAAUCCCCGGGCGUAAUCUGGGAACUGCACCUGAUACUGGAAGACUAGAAUGUGGGAGAGGAGAGUGGAAUUUCCGGUGUAGCGGUGAAAUGCAUAGAGAUCGGAAGGAACACCAGUGGCGAAGGCGGCUCUCUGGACCAACAUUGACGCUGAGGUGCGAAAGCGUGGGUAGCAAACAGGAUUAGAUACCCGAGUAGUC